RNAcentral lists this long non-coding RNA (749 nucleotides) under Salvia miltiorrhiza (redroot sage). RNAcentral describes it as "long non-coding RNA (SMIL_LNC001739)". Lineage: Eukaryota; Viridiplantae; Streptophyta; Magnoliopsida; Lamiales; Lamiaceae. The record is from RNAcentral.
UGUUUCUAUACAAUGGUAGUGGCUGUCUAUUUAAUAUAUUUGGAGCUAGACUUUUGCAUCUUGCUGGUGCUGAUUUAAGUAGUGUCUUUAUUCCUUUAUUAUUUCCUGUUGUGAGGGUAUAAAGUGAUUCUUGCUUGGAUUGCAUUUGAUUUCGAGUGUCGGUGUCGUUAACUUAGAUGCGUAGUGACCGGAAAUAAUGGCAUUGCAUAUUUGUCUGUAUUCUGAUGACUUGUGUCGACAUAGCUUUUUGAUCGUUUAAGCUGAUCUAGUCGGGGUAGUGGCAUGAUAAUUGACUCGAUUCUCAGAGAGUUUAUGUUAUGUUGUUAUGUUAUGGUCUCAGAGAGAUUAGAAUCGAAUUGUUGUGAAACACUGUCAAAUUAGAAUGAUUUGGUUGAGCACUAGUAGAGGUCAAGAGUUGCAAUAUUUCCAUCUUGAAAAGUGCAGGAUAUGAAAAACGUUGAAGAUCUGUGGAUCUGUAGUUGAUGAUUUGGGAUAGAUAUGCCACAGAAUUCAAAAGUGUGUUAUCUUGAUAAAGAAGAAGUGAUUUGUGUUGAAGAAAGGUCCACACUGGUAGGGUUUAGGGUUUCUUGGUCGCUGACAACAUCAAGCACAAUGCCUCCCUAACCACUCAUUACUCAUAUAUAGAUGUGAAGUUAAACUGAUUCAUGCAAUUUUCUUUCUUAGCUUCAUUUCUAUUUUGGUAUAUGCAGAGGGUUGAGUACACAUUAUCAGCUAGGGGGGGCUUGGGU